Molecule: long non-coding RNA, 1665 nt
Organism: Pezoporus occidentalis (night parrot)
Lineage: Eukaryota; Metazoa; Chordata; Aves; Psittaciformes; Psittacidae
Exons: 2
Source: RefSeq, a predicted model, not a curated record
GUGCUGGCACUGCUGAAAUACUACAAAGAAGCAGAAGCUGUAGGUCCUGAGGGCUCAGAGCAGUUCACCUCUGGGAGCCAUGCAGUAAUAGGAUGGAAACUAAUCCAGAGAAUAUUGUAUUGCCACUGUGUGAAUCUGGGAUAAAUCUUCAGCUGGAAUAUUCUUGUGUGCUUCUCAUCACACUUGCUGGGGAAAAUAGGGGAGAUACAGGCAGAUAAAGAAACUUACUAAAACGAUGAAGCCUCUUCCAUGUGAGCAGGGAUUGCAAAGAAUGCAACAUACCAGUUUUCAGAUGCAAUAAACGGGGAAAGGAUAUGAAUUAACUAGCACUAUAACUUUUUUAGGAAAGACUAUAUAUUUCAAAGUCUAAGCCAAUGCCUAACUGACAAAGAUAAGAAGGAAAUUCUGCUCUGGAGAGGUUAUUCCACAACUGUCCAAGACAAAAGAUUAUUCAGUUUAAGAAUCCAGCACUGUCAAAGCUCUCACACAGCAUUUGCCAGUCCUGGUAUCUAAUGAGUCCCGUUUUCAUAAACAAGCAGCCUGGGGAUCAAUCAGCCUGUCAGCCUGUGUCCAUUAGGGUGCUGCCGUGGCGGUGCCUGCUCUGGCCUCGGCACUGCCACCAGCCUGAACCCAGCCGUUUCCCCCAGCGACUUGGGCAAUUUACCAUCCUCCCAGCCCUACCGCUCAUGUGAUCUUUUUUAUCCCUUGCCCAAUUCUGCAAAAUGACUGGAAGUACCUUUUUAAAAGAAAAGUCAGACUAGAAAUGAGGAAGGGGUGCUUGAAGGGAACAGCUAAAUCAGAACUGAGUGGAGCCUAGUGGGGAUGGUGUGAUGUGCAGCCAGGGGUGACUGAAGGGCUGCUGCAUCUUGGCUUGCAUCACCACCACCCUCCCCUGCAGGCUGAAGCUCACUCUCUCUGCAGAAGUCAUGGGCCUGUCCCAGGCAGCACCCACUCCUGCUGUGAGAGGGCCACCAGACCCUCCAGAGAAGACCGUCCAGAGAAGAAGGGUGAGAAGGACAAGGAUGGCUGCCAUGCUGUCACAUGGCAAACUGGCCUAGGCCUGAAUACAGCAAUGAGCUGCACAAUUCAUCCAUGUGGAGAAGGCAGAGAAAUGAGUGCUGGUGUGCAAAAGACUUGUCCCAGGGACUAAGAACAACUCCUUUGCUGUCAAACUCCUGUGCUAGUGCAGCUCUGUUUUGCUCUAGAGUUCGCUCUGUUCCUGAUAACUUUCUGACCCUGUGUUGUGCUCCAGGGACUGUUUUGACCUCCAUGAACCUUUGCCUUCCACACGCUUUAUUUUGGAGAAAAAUAUUCUUAUCAUCCCUUUCAUCUGAGGAGAAAGCCAUCUUCCAAACAGCAAGGUACCCACAGCUUUCUGUGUUCUGUACGGUGGCACUUUUGCUUUUUCCUCAGCCUCUCCUGCCUCUGUUGCGGAUGCUGCCAUUCCCGCUUGGUUAAUUUGUCUUUGUCAGCACAUGUUUCCACAGCAGUGGCAAGACUGACCGUCCCUGGUAGGGCCAGCCGUGUUUACCCGACCACUCCGCAUCCUUCGGCAAGCAGCCUGCUCUUGGUGACUUUUCUGUUCACUUUUACCCACUGAAGCCACAAAUGCUCAAUGAAUUCUUAUGCCUUUUCUAGCCCGAACGAAACUAUCUGAAAAGUAAA